UGGGCGAAAGCCUGAUGCAGCAACGCCGCGUGAAGGAAGAAGGGUUUCGGCUCGUAAACUUCUAUCAACAGGGACGAAAAAAAUGACGGUACCUGAAUAAGAAGCCCCGGCUAACUACGUGCCAGCAGCCGCGGUAAUACGUAGGGGGCAAGCGUUAUCCGGAAUUACUGGGUGUAAAGGGAGAGUAGGCGGCAUGGUAAGUUAGAUGUGAAAGCCCGAGGCUUAACCUCGGGAUUGCAUUUAAAACUAUCAAGCUAGAGUACAGGAGAGGUAAGUGGAAUUCCUAGUGUAGCGGUGAAAUGCGUAGAUAUUAGGAAGAACACCAGUGGCGAAGGCGACUUACUGGACUGAAACUGACGCUGAGGCUCGAAAGCGUGGGGAGCGAACAGGAUUAGAUACCCUGGUAGUCCACGCUGUAAACGAUGAGUGCUAGGUGUCGGGGGGGAACCCUCGGUGCCGCAGCUAACGCAAUAAGCACUCCACCUGGGGAGU
Molecule: ribosomal RNA, 492 nt
Filed under: uncultured bacterium
Lineage: Bacteria
Description: bacterial SSU rRNA
Rfam family: Bacterial small subunit ribosomal RNA
Source: RNAcentral